AAACAUCUAAGUACCCCGAGGAAAAGAAAUCAACCGAGAUUCCCCCAGUAGCGGCGAGCGAACGGGGAGCAGCCCAGAGCCUGAAUCAGUGUGUGUGUUAGUGGAAGCGUCUGGAAAGGCGCGCGAUACAGGGUGACAGCCCCGUACACAAAAAUGCACAUACUGUGAGCUCGAUGAGUAGGGCGGGACACGUGGUAUCCUGUCUGAAUAUGGGGGGACCAUCCUCCAAGGCUAAAUACUCCUGACUGACCGAUAGUGAACCAGUACCGUGAGGGAAAGGCGAAAAGAACCCCGGCGAGGGGAGUGAAAAAGAACCUGAAACCGUGUACGUACAAGCAGUGGGAGCCUCUUUAUGGGGUGACUGCGUACCUUUUGUAUAAUGGGUCAGCGACUUAUAUUCUGUAGCAAGGUUAACCGAAUAGGGGAGCCGAAGGGAAACCGAGUCUUAACUGGGCGUUAAGUUGCAGGGUAUAGACCCGAAACCCGGUGAUCUAGCCAUGGGCAGGUUGAAGGUUGGGUAACACUAACUGGAGGACCGAACCGACUAAUGUUGAAAAAUUAGCGGAUG
Molecule: ribosomal RNA, 568 nt
Filed under: Escherichia coli
Lineage: Bacteria; Pseudomonadati; Pseudomonadota; Gammaproteobacteria; Enterobacterales; Enterobacteriaceae
Description: bacterial LSU rRNA
Rfam family: Bacterial large subunit ribosomal RNA
Source: RNAcentral